Molecule: ribosomal RNA, 498 nt
Filed under: uncultured bacterium
Lineage: Bacteria
Description: partial 16S ribosomal RNA
Rfam family: Bacterial small subunit ribosomal RNA
Source: RNAcentral
GACGAACGCUGGCGGCGUGCCUAAUACAUGCAAGUCGAACGAGAGCGCCCGGUGCUUGCCCUGGUCAAUCUAGUGGCGAACGGGUGAGUAACACGUGGGUAACCUGCCCAUCAGAGGGGGAUAACAUCCGGAAACGGAUGCUAAAACCGCAUAGGUCUUCGAACCGCAUGGUUUGAAGAGGAAAAGAGGCGCAAGCUUCUGCUGAUGGAUGGACCCGCGGUGCAUUAGCUAGUUGGUGAGGUAACGGCUCACCAAGGCCGUGAUGCAUAGCCGACCUGAGAGGGUGAUCGGCCACAUUGGGACUGAGACACGGCCCAAACUCCUACGGGAGGCAGCAGUAGGGAAUCUUCCGCAAUGGACGCAAGUCUGACGGAGCAACGCCGCGUGAGUGAAGAAGGUUUUCGGAUCGUAAAACUCUGUUGUUAGAGAAGAACAAGUGCUAGAGUAACUGUUAGCGCCUUGACGGUAUCUAACCAGAAAGCCACGGCUAACUACGUG